RNAcentral lists this ribosomal RNA (491 nucleotides) under uncultured Corynebacterium sp. Its description in RNAcentral is "bacterial SSU rRNA". It matches the Rfam family "Bacterial small subunit ribosomal RNA", at positions 1 to 507 of the family's 1533-position model. Lineage: Bacteria; Bacillati; Actinomycetota; Actinomycetes; Mycobacteriales; Corynebacteriaceae. The record is from RNAcentral.
UACGAGUUUCGAUCCUGGCUCAGGACGAACGCUGGCGGCGUGCUUAACACAUGCAAGUCGAACGCUGAAACCAGAGCUUGCUUUGGUGGAUGAGUGGCGAACGGGUGAGUAACACGUGGGUGAUCUGCCUACACUUUGGGAUAAGCCUGGGAAACUGGGUCUAAUACCGAAUAUUCACACCACCGUAGGGGUGGUGUGGAAAGCUUUAUGCGGUGUGGGAUGAGCCUGCGGCCUAUCAGCUUGUUGUGGGGUAAUGGCCUACCAAGGCGUCGACGGGUAGCCGGCCUGAGAGGGUGUACGGCCACAUUGGGACUGAGACACGGCCCAGACUCCUACGGGAGGCAGCAGUGGGGAAUAUUGCACAAUGGGCGCAAGCCUGAUGCAGCGACGCCGCGUGGGGGAUGAAGGCCUUCGGGUUGUAAACUCCUUUCGCCAGGGACGAAGCCUUUUAGGUGACGGUACCUGGAGAAGAAGCACCGGCUAACUACGUG